UUCUUCCUCUGGGGCCAUAAGGAUGUUGAAGUCGCCAAGGAUUAACCAUGGUCUGUUUCUCUGUUGCUCAUAUUCCUCAGCUUGUUCCACAGUUUCCUUCUUUUACAGCAUUGUUCCUUGCAUAUAAUGCGGUGAUCCAGUAAGUAUGAUCAUCUUCCUUGAUCUUGAAAGUGAUCUGUUGUAUGCUAUUGUCAAUGGUUUCACAUUAGGCCAUUAUCCCAAAAGCACCACAAUUUGCUGCAAUUAUUGGAGAUGGCAUGGACAAAGCCUAGAUACUUUCUGUAUUCUUCUAGCUUAUUAAAGAAGAGAAAUGGUUCUUGAAGGAUAACCAUACUAGUUUUAUGUAUUCUGAUUAGCUAGUCUUUCACUAGCACCUUUGGAGCUCAUACCUCUAAUAUUCCAGUUGAUGAUGUUAAUAAUUUGGAAAGGUUGGGGGUUUGCAUACUACCUUGUUGUUAGAAGGAUACUGAAGGUUUUUAUUUGACCUCCUUUACCUUUGUGAUUUCUUCUUUUGUUUCCCCUUGGCGAUAAUCCUUGUUUUUGUAUAACUUCCUCAAUUUCUUUUGCCACAGGAUCCUCAAACUGUUUUGGAGAGGGAGUAAAGGCUUCAAGUAAGCUGUCUACUACUUGUUCAUCUUCAUCCUCCUCACAUACACCUCUAGAGUUUUCAUUUAUCUCAUCAUCUGUGGAAGACUCUUGAGAGUGGUUGUUGUCGAUGUCCUCUCCUGAUUCGUACAUAGAAUUGUUGUCUAUGUCUGACAAUGUUUGUUGUUUAGCUCACCUGGGAUAUGCUCAAGAGUCCCCAAGUCUAUAGUGAUUUUUCCUCCUUUUCUUUGAAUGCAAGAUAUGUCUGCAGUAAAAGGAGACAUAAUCUGGUUGUUUGAAUUAGCACUACUACUUUUCGGUUCUUUUGUUUUACCUUCCUGUUGAGAUUGUAUUUAUUUUCCUUUGCUUGUAGUAACUUCUUUAGGUCUGCUUAUAAUUUGGAUUUUCACUUCUUUUUGGACUGCCUCUAUGAUUUUUUCCUCUAUUUACCCUGAUUUCUGUUUGACCCAAAGUCUAUUUUUACCUUUCAGACUUUGGGUAUUCACCUUGUUAGUCUUCUUUUUUUGUGCCUGCCACUUUUUUUGUUUGUGUUGAAUUCUCUCGCUUGAAUAAUGGUGCUGUCAUUUUGUUUUCCUUCCACAUUGUCUUUGACAGGUUUGAUCGCUUAAGUGUUGUUUUUUUGUAGGGUUGUCUGAUCUUGUUUAGGUUGUGCUUGGUACAUUUUGUUCUGUUGGGCUUUAUCAUUGUUGGUGUUGAAGUUUCCUGCCUGAAAGGCCUUCUUUUUUCUGUUCCUUUUGUUUCUAACUUGAGUGAAACAAUCAUCUUGUUGGUUCUCAAUAUGUGUCUGCGCCCCAUUAGUUUUUGCUUUCCAUUAGGCUUCCCCAGGUAUGUAAGCCUUUGGUUGAUCCUCUCCUUUCUCUGUUUUUUCAUUGUCCCUGAAGGUUUUAGUUUGCUCAUUCUUUCUGGCCUCAACCUUACACCUUUCCACAUCAUGUUCUUGCAAUUUGCAAAUUCUGCAGAAAGUUGGGACACUUUCAUACUCCAAUUUUUUAUCUCUGCCCUUCAGCCCUGUUGUAUCACCUCCAAUGCCUACAAAAACAGUGUCUGGAAGAGACUUCAUUAAGUCUACUUCAACCCUGACCUUCGUCAUGUGAGGUAUGGUUCGUGAGACAGUAGCAAUGUUCUCUUUCAUUGGUGUACCAAUUUGUUCCAAAACAUACCGUAAGUAGUCCCAGUUAAACAUAUAAAAGGGUAGUUAUGGUAGUAACACCCAAAUGGGGGCCAAGGAGGUCUCCUCAUUAGGAUCGAAAUCAAGGGACCAUUUGAACAUCCGCAUUAGAGCCCCAGAUAUACCCAUAAAUCGUUUAAAAUAUGCAGUAUUGAAGUUAAUUUCAUUGUUAAAUUCAAUGAAGACAUGUCUAUAAUCAUAAGCCUUAAUUCUUACCUUCCCUUUCAGAGGGAUUUGUUCAAUGAAUUUUGCCGUAAUUGUUUAAAUUUUGGGUCUCCCCAUUGUAAAUUUACCCAUCAACGUCCAUUUGCAGUUUUUCAUCAUUACCCUAUAGUAAUCGGACGCUUUGAAGAUGACCGUUGGUCUGCCAUUGUGAGUUGUUUGCCUUGCUACCACGGUGUUAAUGUUGAUCGCGUUGUC
RNAcentral lists this long non-coding RNA (2194 nucleotides) under Nicotiana benthamiana. Its description in RNAcentral is "long non-coding RNA (NBEN_LNC005483)". The record is from RNAcentral. Lineage: Eukaryota; Viridiplantae; Streptophyta; Magnoliopsida; Solanales; Solanaceae.